GAUCAUGGCUCAGAUUGAACGCUGGCGGCAGGCCUAACACAUGCAAGUCGAACGGUAACAGGAAGAAGCUUGCUUCUUUGCUGACGAGUGGCGGACGGGUGAGUAAUGUCUGGGGAACUGCCUGAUGGAGGGGGAUAACUACUGGAAACGGUAGCUAAUACCGCAUAAUGUCGCAAGACCAAAGAGGGGGGACCUUCGGGCCUCUUGCCAUCGGAUGUGCCCAGGUGGGAUUAGCUAGUAGGG
This 243-nucleotide ribosomal RNA is filed under the name uncultured bacterium. Its description in RNAcentral is "partial 16S ribosomal RNA". It matches the Rfam family "Bacterial small subunit ribosomal RNA", at positions 15 to 253 of the family's 1533-position model. The record is from RNAcentral.